RNAcentral lists this ribosomal RNA (253 nucleotides) under uncultured bacterium. RNAcentral's name for it is "partial 16S ribosomal RNA". It matches the Rfam family "Bacterial small subunit ribosomal RNA", at positions 524 to 776 of the family's 1533-position model. The record is from RNAcentral.
UACGUAUGGUGCAAGCGUUGUCCGGAAUUAUUGGGCGUAAAGAGCUCGUAGGCGGCUUGUCGCGUCGGCUGUGAAAACCCGAGGCUCAACCUCGGGCCUGCAGUCGAUACGGGCAGGCUAGAGUUCGGUAGGGGAGACUGGAAUUCCUGGUGUAGCGUUGAAAUGCGCAGAUAUCAGGAGGAACACCGGUGGCGAAGGCGGGUCUCUGGGCCGAAACUGACGCUGAGGAGCGAAAGCGUGGGGAGCGAACAGG